GCAUGACGGCAGCUACACAUGCAAGUCGAGCGGUAACAGGGGUAGCUUGCUACCCGCUGACGAGCGGCGGACGGGUGAGUAAUGCAUAGGAAUCUGCCCGAUAGUGGGGGAUAACCUGGGGAAACCCAGGCUAAUACCGCAUACGUCCUACGGGAGAAAGGGGGCUUCGGCUCCCGCUAUUGGAUGAGCCUAUGUCGGAUUAGCUAGUUGGUGAGGUAAUGGCUUACCAAGGCAACGAUCCGUAGCUGGUCUGAGAGGAUGAUCAGCCACAUCGGGACUGAGACACGGCCCGAACUCCUACGGGAGGCAGCAGUGGGGAAUAUUGGACAAUGGGGGCAACCCUGAUCCAGCCAUGCCGCGUGUGUGAAGAAGGCCCUCGGGUUGUAAAGCACUUUCAGCGAGGAAGAACGCCUAUCGGUUAAUACCCGGUAGGAAAGACAUCACUCGCAGAAGAAGCACCGGCUAACUCCGUGCCAGCAGCCGCGGUAAUACGGAGGGUGCAAGCGUUAAUCGGAAUUACUGGGCGUAAAGCGCGCGUAGGUGGCUUGAUAAGCCGGUUGUGAAAGCCCCGGGCUCAACCUGGGAACGGCAUCCGGAACUGUCAGGCUAGAGUGCAGGAGAGGAAGGUAGAAUUCCCGGUGUAGCGGUGAAAUGCGUAGAGAUCGGGAGGAAUACCAGUGGCGAAGGCGGCCUUCUGGACUGACACUGACACUGAGGUGCGAAAGCGUGGGUAGCAAACAGGAUUAGAUACCC
RNAcentral lists this ribosomal RNA (753 nucleotides) under Vreelandella titanicae. RNAcentral describes it as "bacterial SSU rRNA". It matches the Rfam family "Bacterial small subunit ribosomal RNA", at positions 35 to 787 of the family's 1533-position model. The record is from RNAcentral. Lineage: Bacteria; Pseudomonadati; Pseudomonadota; Gammaproteobacteria; Oceanospirillales; Halomonadaceae.